RNAcentral lists this ribosomal RNA (464 nucleotides) under uncultured bacterium. RNAcentral describes it as "partial 16S ribosomal RNA". It matches the Rfam family "Bacterial small subunit ribosomal RNA", at positions 28 to 507 of the family's 1533-position model. The record is from RNAcentral.
GACGAACGCUGGCGGCGUGCUUAACACAUGCAAGUCGAACGGUAAGGCCCCAGCUUGCUGGGGUACACGAGUCGCGAACGGGUGAGUAACACGUGGGUGACCUGCCCCGCACUUCGGGAUAAGCCUGGGAAACUGGGUCUAAUACCGGAUACGACCGCACCGAGAGGGUGUGGUGGAAAGAUUUUCGGUGUGGGAUGGGCCCGCGGCCUAUCAGCUUGUUGGUGGGGUAAUGGCCUACCAAGGCGGCGACGGGUAGCCGGCCUGAGAGGGUGGACGGCCACAUUGGGACUGAGACACGGCCCAGACUCCUACGGGAGGCAGAAGUGGGAAAUAUUGCAUAAUGGGCGGAAGCCUGAUGCAGCGACGCCGCGUGGGGGAUGACGGCCAUCGGGUUGUAAACUCCUUUCACCAUCGACGAAGGGAUUCUGACGGUAGAUGGAGAAGAAGCACCGGCUAACUACGUG